RNAcentral lists this ribosomal RNA (484 nucleotides) under uncultured bacterium. RNAcentral's name for it is "partial 16S ribosomal RNA". It matches the Rfam family "Bacterial small subunit ribosomal RNA", at positions 28 to 523 of the family's 1533-position model. The record is from RNAcentral.
GACGAACGCUGGCGGCGUGCUUAACACAUGCAAGUCGAACGGAAAGGCCCUGCUUUUGUGGGGUGCUCGAGUGGCGAACGGGUGAGUAACACGUGAGUAACCUGCCCUUGACUUUGGGGUAACUUCAGGAAACUGGGGCUAAUACCGGAUAGGAGCUCCUGCUGCAUGGUGGGGGUUGGAAAGUUCCGGCGGUUGGGGAUGGACUCGCGGCUUAUCAGCUUGUUGGUGGGGUAGUGGCUUACCAAGGCUUUGACGGGUAGCCGGCCUGAGAGGGUGACCGGCCACAUUGGGACUGAGAUACGGCCCAGACUCCUACGGGAGGCAGCAGUGGGGAAUAUUGCACAAUGGGCGGAAGCCUGAUGCAGCAACGCCGCGUGCGGGAUGACGGCCUUCGGGUUGUAAACCGCUUUCGCCUGUGACGAAGCGUGAGUGACGGUAAUGGGUAAAGAAGCACCGGCUAACUACGUGCCAGCAGCCGCGGUAA